GGGAAUGGAUCCGGUUCUAAUCCGAGUACAAAACGUACUCGUCUGCAAACUUCCAAUCAAGAAUGCCAAAAUUCUGUAGCAGAUGGACUGAAUUCUAGUAGUACUGUUGUCACCACAGAACGAACUACUACUGGGAUUAGAGUUAGUGCACGUCUUCAGCAACAAAGUGUUAAUGAUCAGCCAG
Molecule: long non-coding RNA, 184 nt
Organism: Asparagus officinalis (garden asparagus)
Lineage: Eukaryota; Viridiplantae; Streptophyta; Magnoliopsida; Asparagales; Asparagaceae
Exons: 3
Source: RefSeq, a predicted model, not a curated record